GCGAAGAAGACUCCCGACAGGCCGGGACUCCUCCUUGGAACUCCUCACUCUCUACUCACUAUGAUAGCACUAAGCUACUAAAGUAGUUUACUCCUAAGAUACAUGACAUUUAAGUGAAGGAAUAGGGGGGUAUUUAUAGUGGGAGAUGGAGUAGGGGCUACUCCGGUGCCACAUCAGCGAUCCGCGUCAUCUUCAUCAUGCACCAUUGGAUCAAACCGACUUCACAACCGCCAUCUGAUCAACGGUAGAGGCAAACUAACAUGUGAAACAUGUGGGCAAGGUCGGUGGGAGGCCAACCGACCCUGGAACCGCCAUGAAGUGGGGUCGGCCGACCCCCUAUCUGGCUGGUUGGGCCCACCUGCAGUGUCCUGGAGGCUCUCUGAUGUCGGUGGAGUUGAGCUGACCUGUGGGACCCACCAAAGUGGGGUCACCCGACCCCAAUUCUAUGGGGUUAGGGUGUCAGCCCUGUCCUACAUGUCUUCCUCUUCAUGACUAUAAUGUUGUCUUGGUUACUGGUGUCACUGAUCUUUAGUUAUUCACCCCUUCUUAGUGUUUGGACCCUUGAAAAGUACCUGUUCUUACUCCUGCAACCAAAUAGUAGCAUGUACAUGUGGAACUAGGUUAUAUGUACCUAUAUUACUACUUUGUUUGGUUGUUUUCUCCCAAAAUGAGUCUUAUGUUGACGGUUAUGAUAGUAGAAAACAUGGUAUAAAUACCGUCAACAAGACCCCCCACACUUGAGUCUUUGCUCGUCCUCGAGUAAAGGUUAAAAAUGAGUGAUCAAUGGUUUCUAACUUAAGAUAGUAGUGAGCAUAAAAUGCUAGUUCGAACAUAGUUCAUCCAAAUGGGUUUUUGUGUAAGUGUCUAGCAUAUAUUCUUCAGAGGUUGAGAAAAGGAACAACUCUCAGAACAAGAUCAAAUUCCAAUUUCAUAUUCUUGGUACUUAGAGUUUUUAUGACACUUUUUAAAAUAAGUCACAUAGUUCAAUCCUACUCCUCAUUUAGCGCUCUAGAUCACUCAAAGUUUUUUAGUAGUCCUCACCAAGGCAUGAAUGCCGACUUGUUUCAUCCUAUAAUUAUAGGCUUAUAUGGGGCUUGGUAGGGAUAAACAAGGUAGCAUACUCUACUUUGCAAAUAUUGUUAAGUCAAAAACAAGGAUCCAAAGAGAGGAGUGUCAUAGUCAUAGAUCAAGAUGUGCAAGUGUGUUAUAUGGUGGACUAGGUUGCUCCUUUAUUUACUACACUCUCUCUACUUGUAUAUUGAGACAUGGCUAGAUUUUCUUUUUCUUCGAGCUUUAUGUGCUCAAUUUUUUUUUUCAUGGACUUGCACAUGUCCAUCUUUUCUUUUUAUUUUAUUUUGCCAAGCCCUUUUAUGUCUCAUUUUCUAAACAGUAUUUAGAGAGGUGUUCUAACACUUAGAGUAUGGAGCAACCUAUUUAGUGGAUGCACAAUACAUGUGGUUGCGUACUUCCAGUGUAGAAGCAGCAUAUAUAUAUGUGGUGUGUACGUGAUCUUGAUCUUGUGACUAUGAUACAACUCUCACUAGGGUCAACAAGGUUUUGACAAAACUCAUUACAAAAGCAGGUUGCAUUUCAUAAAAUGGUUACUUGAAUAUCUAAGUGUAUGGCUUUUAGUGGGAAUUUCUU
This 1644-nucleotide long non-coding RNA is filed under the name Sorghum bicolor (sorghum). Its description in RNAcentral is "long non-coding RNA (SBIC_LNC004518)". The record is from RNAcentral. Lineage: Eukaryota; Viridiplantae; Streptophyta; Magnoliopsida; Poales; Poaceae.